RNAcentral lists this transfer RNA (75 nucleotides) under Pseudomonadota bacterium. RNAcentral describes it as "tRNA-Met". It matches the Rfam family "tRNA". Rfam says of the family: Transfer RNA (tRNA) molecules are approximately 80 nucleotides in length. Their secondary structure includes four short double-helical elements and three loops (D, anti-codon, and T loops). RNAcentral also lists the same sequence under 5 other names. The record is from RNAcentral. Lineage: Bacteria; Pseudomonadati; Pseudomonadota.
CGCGGGGUGGAGCAGCGGCAGCUCGCCGGGCUCAUAACCCGGAGGUCGUGGGUUCGAAUCCCACCCCCGCUACCA